GAUGAACGCUAGCGGGAGGCUUAACACAUGCAAGCCGAGGGGUAUAGUUCUUUCGGGAACUAGAGACCGGCGCACGGGUGCGUAACGCGUAUGCAACUUGCCCUACUGAAAAGGAUAGCCCUUCGAAAGGAGGAUUAAUACUUUAUAACAGAUUUAAUGGCAUCAUUAGAUUUUGAAAGAUUUAUCGCAUUAGGAUAGGCAUGCGUAAGAUUAGUUAGUUGGUGAGGUAACGGCUCACCAAGACGAUGAUCUUUAGGGGGCCUGAGAGGGUGAACCCCCACACUGGUACUGAGACACGGACCAGAAUCCUACGGGAGGCAGCAGUGAGGAAUAUUGGACAAUGGGUGGAAGCCUGAUCCAGCCAUCCCGCGUGUAGGAUGACGGCCUUAUGAGUUGUAAACUACUUUUAUAUGGGGAUAAACCUACUUACGUGUAAGUAGCUGAAGGUACCAGAAGAAUAAGCACCGGCUAACUCCGUG
Molecule: ribosomal RNA, 479 nt
Filed under: uncultured bacterium
Lineage: Bacteria
Description: partial 16S ribosomal RNA
Rfam family: Bacterial small subunit ribosomal RNA
Source: RNAcentral